Molecule: ribosomal RNA, 253 nt
Filed under: uncultured bacterium
Lineage: Bacteria
Description: partial 16S ribosomal RNA
Rfam family: Bacterial small subunit ribosomal RNA
Source: RNAcentral
GACGUAGGAGACAAACGUUAUCCGGAGUUACUGGGCGUAAAGGGCGUGUAGGCGGUUUGUUAAGGUCGGCGUGAAAGCUACUGGCUAAACCGGUAGAGGUCGUCGGCGACUGGCAGGCUGGAGGGUGAUAGAGGUGGGUGGAAUUCCGGGUGUAGUGGUGAAAUGCGUAGAGACCCGGAGGAACACCAGUGGCGAAGGCGACCCACUGGAUCACACCUGACGCUGAAACGCGACAGCAUGGGGAGCGAACGGG